GAUGAACGCUGGCGGCGUGCCUAAUACAUGCAAGUCGAGCGAACGGACGAGAAGCUUGCUUCUCUGAUGUUAGCGGCGGACGGGUGAGUAACACGUGGAUAACCUACCUAUAAGACUGGGAUAACUUCGGGAAACCGUAGCUAAUACCUUAUGAUAUUUUUAACCGCAUGGUUCAAAAGUGAAAGACGGUCUUGCUGUCACUUAUAGAUGGAUCCGCGCUGCAUUAGCUAGUUGGUAAGGUAACGGCUUACCAAGGCAACGAUGCAUAGCCGACCUGAGAGGGGGAGCGGCAACACUGGAACUGAGACACGGUCCAGACUACUACGGGAGGCAGCAGUAGGGAAUCUUCCGCAAUGGGCGAAAGCCUGACGGAGAAAAGCCGCGUGAGUGAUGAAGGUCUUCGGAUAGUAAAACUCUGUUAUUAGGGAAGAACAUAUGUGUAAGUAACUGUGCACAUCUUGAAGGUACCUAAUCAGAAAGCCACGGCUAACUACGUG
Molecule: ribosomal RNA, 497 nt
Filed under: uncultured bacterium
Lineage: Bacteria
Description: partial 16S ribosomal RNA
Rfam family: Bacterial small subunit ribosomal RNA
Source: RNAcentral